Molecule: ribosomal RNA, 233 nt
Filed under: uncultured bacterium
Lineage: Bacteria
Description: partial 16S ribosomal RNA
Rfam family: Bacterial small subunit ribosomal RNA
Source: RNAcentral
UGAGCAAUCUGCCCUUCUCUUCGGAAUAAGCGUUGGAAACGACGUCUAAUGCCGAAUACGACCUCCUUUCGCAUGAUCGGAGGUGGAAAGCUCCGGCGGAGAAGGAUGAGCUCGCGGCCUAUCAGCUAGUUGGUGUGGGUAAUGGCCCACCAGGGCGACGACGGGUGGCCGGCCUGAGAGGGCGACCGGCCACACUGGGACUGAGACACGGCCCAGACUCCUACGGGAGGCAG